Molecule: unclassified non-coding RNA, 329 nt
Filed under: soil metagenome
Description: partial contains 5.8S ribosomal RNA, internal transcribed spacer 2, and large subunit ribosomal RNA
Rfam family: 5.8S ribosomal RNA (bases 1-120)
Source: RNAcentral
GAUGAAGAACGUAGUGAAAUGCGAUAAGUAAUGUGAAUUGCAGAAUUCAGUGAAUCAUCGAAUCUUUGAACGCACAUUGCGCCCCUUGGUAUUCCGAGGGGCAUGCCUGUUCGAGCGUCAUUAUAACCCCUCAAGCUCAGCUUGGUGUUGGGGCCUGCUGCACUGGCAGCCCUUAAAAUCAGUGGCGGCGCCAUCUGGCUCUAAGCGUAGUAAUUCUUCUCGCUAUGGAGUCCUGGUGGACGCUUGCCAUCAACCCCCAAUUUUUCUAUGGUUGACCUCGGAUCAGGUAGGGAUACCCGCUGAACUUAAGCAUAUCAAUAAGCGGAGGA